AAAAAAAAUCACCCAAAAUAACCAAGACGCUCAUUUUUGUUUAGAGAUACUUGGUUUCGAUAGCUCCAAGUUGAGGAUUGAAGGUGAUCCUUCGAUUGUACUGCCUUUUAGGACUCGGUCAUAACUUGAUCUGCUUCAAGAACAAUUCAAGACUAUCGUCUAUUGAUUAGUCCUCGCUUGCUUUCUUGGUUCAGUUCCCUCUUGAAAGUUCUCGUUGAAGCUCGUUUCGGGUCUUCUCUCUGACCUCGCGCUUCUCUUUGCUUCUCAAUUCGCGAAGAUUCGAAAAAGAGGGCAAAAUAUCUUCGCACUCGGCAAGAAAGGCAUGGCAUUCCCACAGUGGGAGGUGGGAGAUGCUCGUGAUUGAUUGCUUCGACCAGAAUCAGGCAGUCGGUUUCAAUGAUCAAGUCGAGAAAAUAUUCAGUGGUUGCCAAUCACCACAUCACCGUCCUACGUGGCGCGCGCAAUUCUAGGUGGCUCCACUAACAGUCAACAUGUGUCCUUGGACUUAUACCAGCUGGAAAAUAGAGAAGUCAAAGGUUAUUUUUUUCUCUCUCCCCUGCGGCUGAAAAGAGACUCAAGCGAAGCAUUAAUUAAUGUUGUUGCCGCUCAAAAACCUCUCUCUUCGUUUCAAUUUUCAAGCGCUUUUUGCCUUCUCCUUCCUCGAGUUGAGAAGAGAAAACGUAGAUACCUUCUCUCUCUCCUUCUCCGGCACGCCCGACUAUGUCCACCUCCACCUCCGCCUCGCCAUGCCCCUACCCUUUCCCCAAAGCCCUCUCGUCG
Molecule: long non-coding RNA, 780 nt
Organism: Eucalyptus grandis
Lineage: Eukaryota; Viridiplantae; Streptophyta; Magnoliopsida; Myrtales; Myrtaceae
Exons: 3
Source: RefSeq, a predicted model, not a curated record